AACGAACGCUGGCGGCAUGCUUAACACAUGCAAGUCGCACGGUUCGGGUCCUGGCAGUGGCGGACGGGUGAGUAUCGCGUAGGGAUUUGUCGUUGGGUGGGGGAUAACCGCGGGAAACUGCGGCUAAUACCGCAUGACGCCUGUGGGCCAAAGGUGUGUAAGCACUGCCUGACGAGGAGCCUGCGUCCGAUUAGCUAGUUGGUUGGGUAAUGGCUGACCAAGGCUGNGAUCGGUAGCUGGUCUGAGAGGAUGAUCAGCCACACUGGGACUGAGACACGGCCAGACUCCUACGGGAGGCAGCAGUGGGGAAUAUUGGACAAUGGGCGCAAGCCUGAUCCAGCAAUGCCGCGUGGAUGAAG
RNAcentral lists this ribosomal RNA (359 nucleotides) under uncultured bacterium. RNAcentral's name for it is "bacterial SSU rRNA". It matches the Rfam family "Bacterial small subunit ribosomal RNA", at positions 28 to 410 of the family's 1533-position model. The record is from RNAcentral.